Molecule: ribosomal RNA, 467 nt
Filed under: uncultured bacterium
Lineage: Bacteria
Description: partial 16S ribosomal RNA
Rfam family: Bacterial small subunit ribosomal RNA
Source: RNAcentral
GAUGAACGCUGACAGAAUGCUUAACACAUGCAAGUCAACUUGAAUUUGGGUUUUUAACUUAGGUUUGGGUGGCGGACGGGUGAGUAACGCGUAAAGAACUUGCCUCACAGCUAGGGACAACAUUUGGAAACGAAUGCUAAUACCUAAUAUUAUGAUAAUAGGGCAUCCUAUAAUUAUGAAAGCUAUAAGCGCUGUGAGAGAGCUUUGCGUCCCAUUAGCUAGUUGGAGAGGUAACGGCUCACCAAGGCGAUGAUGGGUAGCCGGCCUGAGAGGGUGAUCGGCCACAAGGGGACUGAGACACGGCCCUUACUCCUACGGGAGGCAACAGUGGGGAAUAUUGGACAAUGGACCGAGAGUCUGAUCCAGCAAUUCCGUGUGCACGAUGAAGUUUUUCGGAAUGUAAAGUGCUUUCAGUUGGGAAGAAACAAAUGACGGUACCAACAGAAGAAGUGACGGCUAAAUACGUG